This is a long non-coding RNA of Ipomoea nil (Japanese morning glory), 268 nucleotides long. RefSeq lists it as uncharacterized. The record is from RefSeq and is a predicted model, not a curated record. Lineage: Eukaryota; Viridiplantae; Streptophyta; Magnoliopsida; Solanales; Convolvulaceae. The transcript is spliced from 3 exons.
UUUAGAACAAUAAAUAAAGAGUUAAUACCUCCAAUGGUCCUCCGAGUAUUAACGAUUUACCAGCUGUGGUCAUCCAACUUUUAAAUAACCUCUAAUGGUCCUCCAUAUUUUAAAAAAUAACCACCCGUGGUCCUUUUAGGACAUCUCGUGGUCAUUUUAAACUCGGGAUUUCUUAAGAAUUAGGACCACGGAUGGUUAUUUUUUAAAACAUAGAGGACCAUUGGAGGUUAUUUAAAAGUCGAAUGACCAUAGCUGGUAAAUCGCUAAU